GUUUGAUCCACCAAUUAAAGGCAUGUUUGGUGACAACUGAAUCAUCUGAUUCCCCACUGGUGUCCCUGCCAAAUGAUAAAUAAAUUAAUACAGAACUAAAAAAAUUAAUAGAGAGGCAUAAGCAAUAAUAAUAUAGGAAAAAGAUAAUCAAAUGGUUAGCUUACAACAUAGUGAUUAGCGCAUCCCUUUCUGGUUUGAAAAUGAGUGGGUACUUGUAGAAUGGAGUUUAGCCCAUUUACCACGGUACUUGUUUAAAUAUUUAAACCUCAGAUGGCCAAAUUGUUCAGGCAUCACUUUUGCAGUUGUCUAACAGUAACAGAUGCAUGGAGAUAAUCCCCAGAUCUUAUGUUACUGUUUUUGUUGUUAUCACUCUCCAAUUUACAGUUAAUGUUUACUAGUGUUCUUUGUGUUUACUACCAGUAUGGUCAAUACUGUAAUUUUCAUUUUGAUAAUCUUCUUUGAUUCCCACUCAAGUUUUUCACCUAUGUCCUGAAAUAUUUCCUAGUCCCUGACAGAAGAUAAUCUGGAAAUCCCAGCUCUUUAGUGAAAACAAGUUAGUUGACUCAAUUGGUAAACUCAGUUAUCUGCUCUGUUUUGUGUGUAUGGAAAGAGUCAAAAGUUAGUGAACAAGACCUUACCGUAACUGUUUAUUAUUCCAUCAUUAAUGAGUUCUGGGAUACUGAAUGCCGAAGCAAGCAUUGCAGCUGAGGGAGGCGAGAAGGCUGCUCCCCUGAUUAUCAUCUUCUUUGCAACUUCCAGGGCCCAUCCCAUGCUCUGAUCUGCAAUAACACAAGUGAUCUUCUUGUCAUCUGAUCUGUUAAUCUUUCUUAUCAGCUCUUCCAGCUUCCCGGGCAUGACCUUUAAGAUUCCUUCCGUUAACCUUACCAAGUUGUUCCUAUCCUCUGAGGGUUCCAUCCCAUCUGGGAUUGAAACCAGAUGUAUUUGAUUGGCGAGGUUGUCUUGGUCUGACAGUGCAUUCACUACUCUUUUGUGGUUAAACUCAGUGUUCACAAAAGUGACCUUGAAACUCUGUGCAACUAAACGUUGUGAAAGCUCUAACAGGGGAAUUACAUGGCCUUGUGCUGGAUAAGGUAUGGCUAAAAUGUGUUGCUUUCCCAUCUAUGUUCUUUUGCUUAAUUACCAGAUAGUAAUAAUAUUUUCAGUGCUGCUUGAACUCAAUAUUUUUGUUGCUCUUAUAGGCAGCCCUGGAGGCAUGACCAAUGAGCCUAUUCGGAGUGUGUUGUCCAUUUGUUUUUGUUGCUUUCUAAUCUCAAACUUGGGAAUAUGCUUGUCGUUGGCUUUAAGGGCAUUGCUUGGUUUGCUCUAGUUGUCUUUGAACUACUCUCUUAAUCAGGUCCCCAUUUAUGCUGUGGCAGUGAACUCUUAAAUGCUUAGGCUGUUUGCUGCAGCCAACAAAGUAGUAAUUACACCAGAUCUUGCAUCCUUUGAUUAUUAUUUUCUUAUCAGAUUUGAGUAAAAUUCCACUAUAAAAAGAGGGGUGUGGAGGUGCAAGCAGGAGUGCAACAAUUCAAAUGGAUAAAAUCUCUACCAGUAAAAAAUUAAAGGAGAAGAUUUUAAGUACAAUAGAUAAACUAUAAUCAGAAGACAAUAGAGUUUUCUACCAGCCAAGUAUUAAAGAGAUUAUGUGCUGGUAGAAGUUUUCAUAUUUGUCUUGUCGGUUUUUUUUCUUAUUAUUAGUUAACUUUUCACAUAAAAUUGGUGUCCUGUGGAUUUAUUGGAGAACUUUUCGUAUUUGUCUUUUGUAUUUUUACACAUGUUUUUGCCCCAGCACUUUUUUGAAUAUACACUCUUUUGGAAUAUAUUAAUUAAUUGCAGUCUCAUAAACUGUUUUGUGUGUGUGUGUGUGUGUUUUAUUAUUGUUCUUGUUUAGUUUUUGUUCUCUCUCUCUGCAUGUCUAUAUUGGGGCAAGCAUUGAACUUUUCUAGGGGCUAUUGCAUAUUUUUGCGCCUCUUGCAUGUAUGUCAUUUGUUUGCACUUUUCCAGUAUAACCAUUUAGGAAAUGAAGUCGCUCUCAGUUCUCACCAUAAGCCAUUUGAUUGCUAUAUUCUCUUUAAGAAUAGCACCUCAAUGGAGAUGUGCAUUUCUGCAUCCACAGCUCAAACAAUUUAAUUGACCUCAAAUUGGAUCAGGAGAACUAGCUGAUUUUAUAAAUUGAUUCAUUCGGUGUAAUCAAUGGUAGAAUCCUUUCCUAUUCUUAAACAAUGUUAAAAGCAUUUUGCUAAUUUCUGAACCAUAUAAAUUGAAGGUUACUCAAUCUGCAUGAGCUGAUGCUGAUACUUAGAUACAAGUGCUGCGUGAUAUUUAGGCACUUGUACAUAACAAAUGGAAAGCAGGUUUUCCUUCAGAUAAAUAACAUGGAGUUCAAGCCGAUUUUUCCAGUAUCCUCUUGGACACAUGCAACUUGUUAUCAUCUACGGCGGUCGGUCAUUCUGGGACAAGGGCUAGAGUCAAAGCAACGCUAGUGAUUGAUGAAGAGCUGCUACUCCAAGUGUAAUCACGAAAGGGGAAAGAAGCAGAAUAAUAGAGAGCAUGUUGAGGUAAGCAUCUCACCCUGAACAUUUUCUUUUUAUUUAAGUUGUCUUAGUCUUACCUCUCUAGAUUUGGCCUUGUUUGACUUGUUCCUUGUUGAGUUGUCCCUUCCUUCCACGUGGGAAAAUAGAUAUGUUUUCUCCAAGAUUCUUACCUUAGUUCUGGUCUUGGACGAGGGACGGCUUUGAAGGUAGCUUAUGAGGAUGCGGAUUUAAUAAAAUUCUGCAGUUUAAGAAAGAUUUUUGGAAGUGUACCUGUUAAAGUGUUUUGUUGAUAUGCCCUCAGAAAUACUAGAAAUUAUUAUCAAACUAAUAAUUUAUGUCAAAAAAUAAAAAUAAAAAUAUUUGGACAUUAUUAGCAAGGAAGUCCUUUAGUAGUAAGUACGUUGUGUGUUGAAUCCUUAAAGAAUGUGGUAAUUAAAUUUUUUGG
Long non-coding RNA from Diospyros lotus (date-plum), 2979 nucleotides. RefSeq lists it as uncharacterized. The record is from RefSeq and is a predicted model, not a curated record. The transcript has 3 exons. NCBI's taxonomy places the organism in Eukaryota, Viridiplantae, Streptophyta, Magnoliopsida, Ericales, Ebenaceae.